AUGAAAAUGAUUUGUUGGAAUUGCUGAGGUUUGGGUCGACCUCAGACAGUACAAGAACUUAUAUGCCUCACAAAGACACAUCGACCCAACGUUAUCUUUCUUUCCGAAACAAGGCAAAAUAGGAAUAUGUUGAGAGUUUGUUACCACAUGGGUAUGAAAAAUGUUUUUACCGUGUCUAUGCGUGGCAAAGGAGGUGGACUAGCGGUCUUUUGGGAUGAUCUUUACAUUCUGGAGUUGAAAAAAAAUAUGAAGAACACUUCAUUGUCAUGUACAUUUGCAAUCGCGUUGGAACUAAAUGGAGAAAAAAAAGUGCCUAUGGGGAACCAAAGGCGAGCCAAUGGUGUGUGA
RNAcentral lists this ribosomal RNA (348 nucleotides) under Triticum aestivum (bread wheat). RNAcentral's name for it is "partial small subunit ribosomal RNA". The record is from RNAcentral. Lineage: Eukaryota; Viridiplantae; Streptophyta; Magnoliopsida; Poales; Poaceae.